GACGAACGCUGGCGGCGUGCUUAACACAUGCAAGUCGAACGGAAAGGCCCUGCUUUUGUGGGGUGCUCGAUUGGCGAACGGGUGAGUAACACGUGAGUAACCUGCCCUUGACUUUGGGAUAACUUCAGGAAACUGGGGCUAAUACCGGAUAGGAGCUCCUGCUGCAUGGUGGGGGUUGGAAAGUUUCGGCGGUUGGGGAUGGACUCGCGGCUUAUCAGCUUGUUGGUGGGGUAGUUGCUUACCAAGGCUUUGACGGGUAGCCGGCCUGAGAGGGUUACCGGCCACAUUGGGACUGCGAUACGGCCCAGUAUCCUACGGGAGGCAGUGGUGGGGAAUAUUGCAGAAUGGGCGGAAGCCUGAUGCAGCAACGCCGCGUGCGGGAUGACGGCCUUCGAGUUAUAAACCGCUUUCGACUGUGACGAAGCGUGAGUGACGGUAAUGGGUAAAGAAGCACCGGCUAACUACGUG
This 468-nucleotide ribosomal RNA is filed under the name uncultured bacterium. Its description in RNAcentral is "partial 16S ribosomal RNA". It matches the Rfam family "Bacterial small subunit ribosomal RNA", at positions 28 to 507 of the family's 1533-position model. The record is from RNAcentral.